RNAcentral lists this long non-coding RNA (515 nucleotides) under Felis catus (domestic cat). RNAcentral describes it as "lncRNA (ENSFCAG00000049715.1)". Lineage: Eukaryota; Metazoa; Chordata; Mammalia; Carnivora; Felidae. The record is from RNAcentral.
CAAUGGAUUUGGUAAUUCAUCCUGCAUUAAAAAAAUGUUCUUGUACAUUAAUGCCUUUCACAGUGCUUAUGUAUGUGUGUGCAACCAAUAUUUACCCAGUGUGAUGGAAGAAAGCAAGUUAAAAAGUGGAGAAAAUGCAUACUAAGACCAUCUCUUAUUGGUCAGGAUGUGGUCUUGACCUUCAAAGCAGGUAGUAAGGACAAUAAAUGUUGAAGUUUCAGUGAUGAUUUGCAUCAGGCACCUUCCAAAUGGGUCUAACUACACUUGAAAACAGCAAGGAACUUCUGGGGGGAUUUAUCUCCUUGCAGUGGCUACACAAAAUAUCUAAUUAUAUGAAGUAUUGCCAUACCUGAAUCUCAUUAUUGUCCAGAGGCAUUCCUUCAUCAAUCUAUCCUCAUAUUCUUAACCUUGUGAUACAAAACAUUGCUUCACUUUACUUGAAAAGGUAAGACUUUCAUUCCUUUUUCAUUUAUAAUGAUCAUGUUUGUACUUAUGGCAAUUUUGAAAAUAAUCCA